CACGCCCUAAACGAUGCCAACUAGGUGUUGGGGAAGGAGACUUCCUUAGUACCGUAGCUAACGCGUGAAGUUGGCCGCCUGGGGAGUACGGUCGCAAGAUUAAAACUCAAAGGAAUUGACGGGGACCCGCACAAGCGGUGGAUGAUGUGGAUUAAUUCGAUGCAACGCGAAAAACCUUACCUACCCUUGACAUGUCAGGAACUUGCCAGAGAUGGCUUGGUGCUCGAAAGAGAGCCUGAACACAGGUGC
This 249-nucleotide ribosomal RNA is filed under the name uncultured Georgfuchsia sp. RNAcentral describes it as "partial 16S ribosomal RNA". It matches the Rfam family "Bacterial small subunit ribosomal RNA", at positions 796 to 1041 of the family's 1533-position model. Lineage: Bacteria; Pseudomonadati; Pseudomonadota; Betaproteobacteria; Nitrosomonadales; Sterolibacteriaceae. The record is from RNAcentral.